Molecule: non-coding RNA, 110 nt
Filed under: Heterosigma akashiwo
Lineage: Eukaryota; Raphidophyceae; Chattonellales; Chattonellaceae
Source: RNAcentral
AAAGAUGAACAAAGUCCAGAAGAAGACCAAGUUUUAGCACAAUUCAUGCCUCCUAGUUGUUUGGCAUUCUGUUUUUUUUUAUUUUUUUUUUUAUGCAGGAUUUUUCUCUC